RNAcentral lists this ribosomal RNA (196 nucleotides) under uncultured bacterium. RNAcentral describes it as "partial 16S ribosomal RNA". It matches the Rfam family "Bacterial small subunit ribosomal RNA", at positions 1305 to 1500 of the family's 1533-position model. The record is from RNAcentral.
CUGCAACUCGCCUACAUGAAGUCGGAAUCGCUAGUAAUCGCGGAUCAGCAUGCCGCGGUGAAUACGUUCCCGGGCCUUGUACACACCGCCCGUCACACCAUGAGAGUUUGUAACACCCAAAGCCGGUGGGGUAACCUUUUGGAGCCAGCCGUCUAAGGUGGGACAGAUGAUUGGGGUGAAGUCGUAACAAGGUAGC